GGAAGUAAAAGUCGUAACAAGGUCUCCGUUGGUGAACCAGCGGAGGGAUCAUUACCGAGUUAUACAACUCCCAAACCCACUGUGAACCUUACCUCAGUUGCCUCGGCGGGAACGCCCCGGCCGCCUGCCCCCGCGCCGGCGCCGGACCCAGGCGCCCGCCGCAGGGACCCCAAACUCUCUUGCAUUACGCCCAGCGGGCGGAAUUUCUUCUCUGAGUUGCACAAGCAAAAACAAAUGAAUCAAAACUUUCAACAACGGAUCUCUUGGUUCUGGCAUCGAUGAAGAACGCAGCGAAAUGCGAUAAGUAAUGUGAAUUGCAGAAUUCAGUGAAUCAUCGAAUCUUUGAACGCACAUUGCGCCCGCCAGCAUUCUGGCGGGCAUGCCUGUUCGAGCGUCAUUUCAACCCUCGAGCCCCCCCGGGGGCCUCGGUGUUGGGGGACGGCACACCAGCCGCCCCCGAAAUGCAGUGGCGACCCCGCCGCAGCCUCCCCUGCGUAGUAGCACACACCUCGCACCGGAGCGCGGAGGCGGUCACGCCGUAAAACGCCCAACUUUCUUAGAGUUGACCUCGGAUCAGGUAGGAAUACCCGCUGAACUUAAGCAUAUCAAUAAGCGGA
RNAcentral lists this ribosomal RNA (617 nucleotides) under Purpureocillium lilacinum. RNAcentral's name for it is "eukaryotic LSU rRNA". The stretch from base 244 to 397 matches the Rfam family "5.8S ribosomal RNA". Lineage: Eukaryota; Fungi; Ascomycota; Sordariomycetes; Hypocreales; Ophiocordycipitaceae. The record is from RNAcentral.